RNAcentral lists this ribosomal RNA (491 nucleotides) under uncultured bacterium. Its description in RNAcentral is "bacterial SSU rRNA". It matches the Rfam family "Bacterial small subunit ribosomal RNA", at positions 28 to 519 of the family's 1533-position model. The record is from RNAcentral.
GAUGAACGCUGGCUGUGUGCCUAAUACAUGCAUGUCGAACGAAGCACUUGUGCUUAGUGGCGAAUGGGUGAGUAACACGUACUUAAUCUACCUCUAGGUUUGGGACAACAUUUAGAAAUGAAUGCUAAUACCGAAUACACCUAUUCCUCGCAUGAGGAAUUGGUAAAAGACCCGUUUGGGUUGCUGAGAGAUGAGAGUGCGGUACAUUAGUUAGUUGGUAGGGUAAAGGCCUACCAAGACGAUGAUGUAUAGCGGGGUUGAGAAGCUGAACCGCCACACUGGGACUGAGAUAUGGCCCAGACUCCUACGGGAGGCAGCAGUAGGGAAUAUUCCACAAUGAGCGAAAGCUUGAUGGAGCGACACAGCGUGCAGGAUGAAGGUCUUCGGAUUGUAAACUGCUGUUAUAAGGGAAGAAAACCGGUGUAGGAAAUGACAUCGGCUUGACGGUACCUUAUCAGAAAGCACCGGCAAACUAUGUGCCAGCCGCCGCC